Molecule: long non-coding RNA, 792 nt
Organism: Cyprinus carpio carpio
Lineage: Eukaryota; Metazoa; Chordata; Actinopteri; Cypriniformes; Cyprinidae
Source: Ensembl
GGCUUUUGAGGUCUUUUUGAGAUACAAAUUUAGAGAGAUGCCAUGAGGAGGAGACUUAAAAUAGAUUAGGGGAAAUAGAUGAAGAAACAUCACAGGCCUGGCUCGAACCUGUGUCACCCAUGAUGAGGUGAUAGGGCUCAGGGGAACUCUGUGCAGAAACUCUACAUGGCCCAGUAUGGGGAGAAGACAGGAAACUGCCUUUCAUUACAGUAUAGAGGCUUGCACAUGUGGGAGUGAUGUUGGAAUGACUCUUUCUUCCAGUCUGCAGGCAUCGCACCCGUCUACUGGUCUGCUAGGCAAAUCCUCUCCCAUCAAACUGCCUUGGGACCAGGAUUACUGAGAUUUUGAAAAGAGUAAAACAGAAUAUUCGAUGUGAAAAGCAUUCCACACCAUAAUGGAGCCAGACCUGAAUGUGACUUCACAAUGUCCCAUCCUGAAACGCCACCGGCUGCACCUUUUUAGACUUUUUGUCUGGGAUGUGGAAGCUGAAGCCUUAGUGGCAUCUGCAAGAAAGGAAGACAGACAGACAUAGUUUUCUUUGUACACUAAUGAAUUGGACAGACCAGGAGCAUGUGUUCAUAAUUUUUUUUCUGUUGUCAUCUUAACUAACCAGACUGACAAUUUCCAAUGUGAAUGGAAUUCCAUACCGGAACAGAGCCAGACCUGAAUGCAAGCUUGUGAUCUUCUAGCUUUAAGAUUAAGGAUGCACAGUUUAUCUAAAUCAUGACAUUUUUCAGAUUAUGUUGGAGAUUUUGAAUUUGAAUUUAUUUAUUAGGAUAAACCCAUCAUGAU